This 524-nucleotide ribosomal RNA is filed under the name uncultured microorganism. Its description in RNAcentral is "bacterial SSU rRNA". It matches the Rfam family "Bacterial small subunit ribosomal RNA", at positions 9 to 515 of the family's 1533-position model. The record is from RNAcentral.
GAGUUUGAUCGUGGCUCAGGAUGAACGCUGGCGGCGUGCCUAAUACAUGCAAGUCGAGCGAACAGACGAGGAGCUUGCUCCUCUGACGUUAGCGGCGGACGGGUGAGUAACACGUGGAUAACCUACCUAUAAGACUGGGAUAACUUCGGGAAACCGGAGCUAAUACCGGAUAAUAUAUUGAACCGCAUGGUUCAAUAGUGAAAGACGGUUUUGCUGUCACUUAUAGAUGGAUCCGCGCCGCAUUAGCUAGUUGGUAAGGUAACGGCUUACCAAGGCAACGAUGCGUAGCCGACCUGAGAGGGUGAUCGGCCACACUGGAACUGAGACACGGUCCAGACUCCUACGGGAGGCAGCAGUAGGGAAUCUUCCGCAAUGGGCGAAAGCCUGACGGAGCAACGCCGCGUGAGUGAUGAAGGUCUUCGGAUCGUAAAACUCCGUUAUUAGGGAAGAACAAAUGUGUAAGUAACUAUGCACGUCUUGACGGUACCUAAUCAGAAAGCCACGGCUAACUACGUGCCAGCACG